This 300-nucleotide ribosomal RNA is filed under the name uncultured Burkholderia sp. RNAcentral's name for it is "bacterial SSU rRNA". It matches the Rfam family "Bacterial small subunit ribosomal RNA", at positions 115 to 418 of the family's 1533-position model. Lineage: Bacteria; Pseudomonadati; Pseudomonadota; Betaproteobacteria; Burkholderiales; Burkholderiaceae. The record is from RNAcentral.
ACAUCGGAACAUGUCCUGUAGUGGGGGAUAGCCCGGCGAAAGCCGGAUUAAUACCGCAUACGAUCCACGGAUGAAAGCGGGGGACCUUCGGGCCUCGCGCUAUAGGGUUGGCCGAUGGCUGAUUAGCUAGUUGGUGGGGUAAAGGCCUACCAAGGCGACGAUCAGUAGCUGGUCUGAGAGGACGACCAGCCACACUGGGACUGAGACACGGCCCAGACUCCUACGGGAGGCAGCAGUGGGGAAUUUUGGACAAUGGGCGAAAGCCUGAUCCAGCAAUGCCGCGUGUGUGAAGAAGGCCUC